This 450-nucleotide ribosomal RNA is filed under the name uncultured bacterium. RNAcentral describes it as "bacterial SSU rRNA". It matches the Rfam family "Bacterial small subunit ribosomal RNA", at positions 29 to 524 of the family's 1533-position model. The record is from RNAcentral.
AGCGAACGCUGGCGGCAGGCCUAAUACAUGCAAGUCGAACGGUCUCUUCGGAGGCAGUGGCGGACGGGUGAGUAACGCGUGGGAAUAUGCCCUUUGGUACGGAACAACUGAGGGAAACUUCAGCUAAUACCGUAUGUGCCCUUCGGGGGAAAGAUUUACCGCCAUUGGAGUAGCCCGCGUUGGAUUAGGUAGUUGGUGGGGUAAAGGCCUACCAAGCCUACGAUCCAUAGCUGGUCUGAGAGGAUGAUCAGCCACACUGGGACUGAGACACGGCCCAGACUCCUACGGGAGGCAGCAGUAGGGAAUCUUGCGCAAUGGGCGAAAGCCUGACGCAGCCAUGCCGCGUGAAUGAUGAAGGUCUUAGGAUUGUAAAAUUCUUUCACCGGGGAAGAUAAUGACGGUACCCGGAGAAGAAGCCCCGGCUAACUUCGUGCCAGCAGCCGCGGUAAU